GACGAACGCUGGCGGCGUGCCUAAUUCAUGCAAGUAGAACGCUGAAGAGAGGAGCUUGCUCUUCUUGGAUGAGUUGCGAACGGGUGAGUAACGCGUAGGUAACCUGCCUGGUAGCGGGGGAUAACCAUUGGAAACGAUAGCUAAUACCGCAUAAAAUUGAUUAUUGCAUGAUAAUUAAUUGAAAGAUGCAAUUGCAUCACUACCAGAUGGACCUGCGUUGUAUUAGCUAGUUGGUGAGGUAACGGCUCACCAAGGCGACGAUACAUAGCCGACCUGAGAGGGUGAUCGGCCACACUGGGACUGAGACACGGCCCAGACUCCUACGGGAGGCAGCAGUAGGGAAUCCUCGGCAAUGGGGGGAACCCUGACCGAGCAACGCCGCGUGAGUGAAGAAGGUUUUCGGAUCGUAAAGCUCUGUUGUAAGAGAAGAACGGGUGCGAGAAGUGUAUUU
This 451-nucleotide ribosomal RNA is filed under the name Streptococcus sanguinis. RNAcentral describes it as "bacterial SSU rRNA". It matches the Rfam family "Bacterial small subunit ribosomal RNA", at positions 28 to 469 of the family's 1533-position model. The record is from RNAcentral. Lineage: Bacteria; Bacillati; Bacillota; Bacilli; Lactobacillales; Streptococcaceae.